This 279-nucleotide ribosomal RNA is filed under the name uncultured bacterium. RNAcentral's name for it is "partial 16S ribosomal RNA". It matches the Rfam family "Bacterial small subunit ribosomal RNA", at positions 335 to 604 of the family's 1533-position model. The record is from RNAcentral.
ACCAGCCUACGGGGGGCAGCAGUGGGGAAUUUUGGACAAUGGGCGCAAGCCUGAUCCAGCUAUUCCGCGUGUGGGAUGAAGGCCCUCGGGUUGUAAACCACUUUUGUAGAGAACGAAAAGACACCUUCGAAUAAAGGGUGUUGCUGACGGUACUCUAAGAAUAAGCACCGGCUAACUACGUGCCAGCAGCCGCGGUAAUACGUAGGGUGCGAGCGUUAAUCGGAAUUACUGGGCGUAAAGGGUGCGCAGUCGGUUGAGUAAGACAGAGUUGAAAUCCCC